RNAcentral lists this small RNA (694 nucleotides) under Pan troglodytes (chimpanzee). RNAcentral's name for it is "processed transcript". Lineage: Eukaryota; Metazoa; Chordata; Mammalia; Primates; Hominidae. The record is from RNAcentral.
GAGGCGGAGGUUGCAGUGAGCGGAGACUGUGCCAUUGCAUUCCAGCCUGGGCAACAUGAGCAAGACUCCAGUCUGGGCAACAAGAGCAAGAGCAUUUUAAGCUAGCAGACCCACAUGAGGAGAAGAGAUGGGAUGGGCUAGGUCCUCCACCUUCUGGGCCCCAAGAUGGAGGCUGAUCUGGAGAAGAAGUUCAAGGUGGCAAAAGCUCGGCUAGAAGAAACAGACCGGAGGACGGCAAAGGAUGUGAUGGAGAAUGGCGAGACUGCUGACCAGACCCUGUCUCUGAUUGAGCAGCUCCGGGGGGAGGCCCUUAAGUUCCACAAGCCUGGUACGUACCCGGUUCCCGCCAGAACCCAAUGGAAUCCUGCAUAUUGGACAUGCCAAAGCCAUCAAUUUCAACUUCGGCUAUGCCAAGGCCAACAAUGGCAUCUGUUUUCUGCGUUUUGAUGACACCAACCCUGAGAAGGAGGAAGCAAAGUUCUUCACGGCCAUCUGUGACAUGGUGGCCUGGCUAGGCUACACACCUUACAAAGUCACAUAUGCGUCUGACUAUUUUGACCAGCUAUAUGCGUGGGCUGUGGAGCUCAUCCGCAGGGGUCUGGCUUAUGUGUGCCACCAGCGAGGAGAGGAGCUCAAAGGCCAUAAUACUCUGCCUUCACCCUGGAGAGACCGUCCCAUGGAGGAGUCACUGCUG